Molecule: ribosomal RNA, 525 nt
Filed under: uncultured bacterium
Lineage: Bacteria
Description: bacterial SSU rRNA
Rfam family: Bacterial small subunit ribosomal RNA
Source: RNAcentral
UAGUCCACGCCGUAAACGAUGUCAACUAGCCGUUGGGAGCAAUUAAGCUCUUAGUGGCGCAGCUAACGCGAUAAGUUGACCGCCUGGGGAGUACGCCGGCAACGGUAAAACUCAAAUGAAUUGACGGGGGCCCGCACAAGCGGUGGAGCAUGUGGUUUAAUUCGAUGCAACGCGAAAAACCUUACCUACCCUUGACAUCCUCAGAACUUGUUAGAGAUAACUUGGUGCCUUCGGGAACUGAGUGACAGGUGCUGCAUGGCUGUCGUCAGCUCGUGUCGUGAGAUGUUGGGUUAUGUCCCGUAACGAGCGCAACCCUUGUCCCUAUUUGCCAGCACUUCGGGUGGGAACUCUAGGGAGACUGCCGGUGACAAACCGGNGGAAGGUGGGGACGACGUCAAGUCAUCAUGGCCCUUACGACUUGGGCUACACACGUGCUACAAUGGUCGGUACAGAGGGCAGCAAAGCGCGACGUGGAGCCAAUCCCUUAAAACCGGUCGUAGUCCGGAUUCGGAGUCUGCAACUCGA